UAAUACGAAGGGACCUAGCGUAGUUCGGAAUUACUGGGCGUAAAGCGCGCGUAGGCCGUUGAGUUAGUUAAUUGUGAAAUCCCAAAGCUUAACUUUGGAACUGCAAUUAAAACUGCUCGACUAGAGUUUGAUAGAGGAAAGCGGAAUACAUAGUGUAGAGGUGAAAUUCGUAGAUAUUAUGUAGAACACCAGUUGCGAAGGCGGCUUUCUGGAUCAACACUGACGCUGAGGCGCGAAAGUAUGGGUAGCAAAGAGGAUUAGAUACCCUCGUAGUCCAUACCAUAAACGAUGAUUGCUAGAUGUUGGAAAUUUAUUUUCAGUAUCGCAGCUAACGCAUUAAGCAAUCCGCCUGGGGAGUACGACCGCAAGGUUAAAACUCAAAUGAAUUGACGGGGACCCGCACAAGCGGUGGAGCAUGUGGUUUAAUUCGAAGAUACGCGCAGAACCUUACCAACCCUUGACAUGUCUGUCGCGAGUUUAGGAAACUAGACUUUCGGUUCGG
This 502-nucleotide ribosomal RNA is filed under the name uncultured Caenispirillum sp. RNAcentral describes it as "bacterial SSU rRNA". It matches the Rfam family "Bacterial small subunit ribosomal RNA", at positions 521 to 1023 of the family's 1533-position model. Lineage: Bacteria; Pseudomonadati; Pseudomonadota; Alphaproteobacteria; Rhodospirillales; Novispirillaceae. The record is from RNAcentral.